RNAcentral lists this ribosomal RNA (465 nucleotides) under uncultured bacterium. RNAcentral describes it as "partial 16S ribosomal RNA". It matches the Rfam family "Bacterial small subunit ribosomal RNA", at positions 28 to 507 of the family's 1533-position model. The record is from RNAcentral.
GACGAACGCUGGCGGCGUGCUUAACACAUGCAAGUCGAACGGAAAGGCCCCCUUGUGGGGUACUCGAGUGGCGAACGGGUGAGUAACACGUGAGUAACCUACCCUUGACUUUGGGAUAACUUCAGGAAACUGGGGCUAAUACCGGAUAGGAGCUCCUGCUGCAUGGUGGGGGUUGGAAAGUUUCGGCGGUUGGGGAUGGACUCGCGGCUUAUCAGCUUGUUGGUGGGGUAGUGGCUCACCAAGGCUUUGACGGGUAGCCGGCCUGAGAGGGUGACCGGCCACAUUGGGACUGAGAUACGGCCCAGACGCCUACGGGAGGCAGCAGUGGGGAAUAUUGCACAAUGGGCGGAAGCCUGAUGCAGCAACGCCGCGUGCGGGAUGACGGCCUUCGGGUUGUAAACCGCUUUCGCCUGUGACGAAGCGUGAGUGACGGUAAUGGGUAAAGAAGCACCGGCUAACUACGUG